AUAAUGCUCCUUCCUGAUUUAUUACAAAAUUGUUUUCAAUAAUGCGGCUUCCUGAUCGAUGAUCGGAUCCGUUAGAUAUGAUCUACGCUAUUGAAAAUAUUUAGAAACUAAAUUUUAUACUUUUUCGACAUUAUUUGACUAGUGUUCAAAAGGUCUCAAAAUUGACAAUUUUAAUGACUGAUGUAAUGCGUUUGUAAAUUUAACGGUGUAAAAUAAUUCAAAUCUGAUAAAAUUCUUAUAGAAAACUCUCUUUACUAUUUAGAGUAAAAUCAGAUCUAGUAUAUCUGAUCUUAAAUUUAAAAUUUUUUAUCAUUAUUUUUUAUAAAAUCUUUAUUUUCAGUUGUUCAUUUUUAAAUUACUCGUUUGAUAGGUAAAUGAUGUCGAAAAAUUAUAAAAUUUUGUUUUCUAAUACUUUUAAUAGUGCGAAUUGAAUCAAGUCUAACGGAGUCGAUCGUCGAUUUGAAAGUUGCAUCAUUAAAAAUUAUUUGGUAGCACAGAAGUCUCCAUGCUACUAGUAUACCAGUCGGACUCUCUCUCUCUGUAUAUAAGGGGG
RNAcentral lists this long non-coding RNA (553 nucleotides) under Ananas comosus (pineapple). RNAcentral's name for it is "long non-coding RNA (ACOM_LNC006388)". The record is from RNAcentral. Lineage: Eukaryota; Viridiplantae; Streptophyta; Magnoliopsida; Poales; Bromeliaceae.